GUUAGGAAUAUUGGACAAUGGGCGCAAGCCUGAUCCAGCCAUGCCGCGUGAACGAUGAAGGCCUUCGGGUUGUAAAGUUCUUUAGCCGAUGAUUAUAAUGACUGUAGUCGGAAAAUAAGCCCCGGCUAACUUCGUGCCAGCAGCCGCGGUAAUACGAAGGGGGCGAGCGUUAUUCGGAAUCACUGGGCGUAAAGCGUGCGUAGGCGGUCUCGUAAGUUAGGAGUGAAAGCCCAGGGCUCAACCUUGGAAUUGCUCUUAAUACUGCAAGGCUAGAAUCUCGGAGAGGAUAGCGGAAUUUCCAGUGUAGCAGUGAAAUGCGUAGAUAUUGGAAGGAACACCAGUGGCGUAAGCGGCUAUCUGGACGAGUAUUGACGCUGAGGCACGAAAGCGUGGGGAUCAAACAGGAUUAGAAACCCGAGUAGUCC
RNAcentral lists this ribosomal RNA (425 nucleotides) under uncultured bacterium. RNAcentral describes it as "partial 16S ribosomal RNA". It matches the Rfam family "Bacterial small subunit ribosomal RNA", at positions 354 to 796 of the family's 1533-position model. The record is from RNAcentral.